CCCGUAGUGCAAUAGAUAGCACGUUGGACUUCCAAUCCACUGGCUAUGGGUUCGAAUCUCACCUUAAAGG
Non-coding RNA from Trichonephila clavata, 70 nucleotides. The record is from the annotation of a GenBank genome assembly. NCBI's taxonomy places the organism in Eukaryota, Metazoa, Arthropoda, Arachnida, Araneae, Nephilidae.